GAUUUGUAAAUAUCAGUCGGGGUUACCGAGGAUCUAUAACAACGAUUUGUUUUUCACUUUUAGUUAAAAUCUUUGUACGGCUGACUAGAUUUUAACUUGCGAUAUACUGUAGAGCUAUAUUUGUUUUUAAUAAAAUUUAAAUUGCUUUGUAGGUUAAAAAUAUAUA
Molecule: small RNA, 166 nt
Filed under: Arabidopsis thaliana (thale cress)
Lineage: Eukaryota; Viridiplantae; Streptophyta; Magnoliopsida; Brassicales; Brassicaceae
Description: ATSL155900
Source: RNAcentral